CCUACGGGAGGCAGCAGUGAGGAAUAUUGGUCAAUGGACGAGAGUCUGAACCAGCCAAGUAGCGUGAAGGAUGACUGCCCUAUGGGUUGUAAACUUCUUUUAUAUGGGAAUAAAAUGUUCCACGUGUGGGAUUUUGUAUGUACCAUAUGAAUAAGGAUCGGCUAACUCCGUGCCAGCAGCCGCGGUAAUACGGAGGAUCCGAGCGUUAUCCGGAUUUAUUGGGUUUAAAGGGUGCGUAGGUGGAUUGUUAAGUCAGUUGUGAAAGUUUGCGGCUCAACCGUAAAAUUGCAGUUGAAACUGGCAGUCUUGAGUACAGUAGAGGUGGGCGGAAUUCGUGGUGUAGCGGUGAAAUGCUUAGAUAUCACGAAGAACUCCGAUUGCGAAGGCAGUUCACUGGACUGAAACUGACACUGAGGCUCGAAAGUGUGGGUAUCAAACAGGAUUAGAUACCCCUGUAGUC
This 460-nucleotide ribosomal RNA is filed under the name uncultured bacterium. RNAcentral's name for it is "partial 16S ribosomal RNA". It matches the Rfam family "Bacterial small subunit ribosomal RNA", at positions 338 to 795 of the family's 1533-position model. The record is from RNAcentral.